This 497-nucleotide ribosomal RNA is filed under the name uncultured bacterium. RNAcentral's name for it is "partial 16S ribosomal RNA". It matches the Rfam family "Bacterial small subunit ribosomal RNA", at positions 28 to 507 of the family's 1533-position model. The record is from RNAcentral.
GAUGAACGCUGGCGGCGUGCCUAAUACAUGCAAGUCGAGCGAACAGACGAGGAGCUUGCUCCUCUGACGUUAGCGGCGGACGGGUGAGUAACACGUGGAUAACCUACCUAUAAGACUGGGAUAACUUCGGGAAACCGGAGCUAAUACCGGAUAAUAUAUUGAACCGCAUGGUUCAAUAGUGAAAGACGGUUUUGCUGUCACUUAUAGAUGGAUCCGCGCCGUAUUAGCUAGUUGGUAAGGUAACGGCUUACCAAGGCAACGAUGCGUAGCCGACCUGAGAGGGUGGUCGGCCACACUGGAACGGAGACACGGUCCAGACUCCUACGGGAGGCAGCAGUAGGGAAUCUUCCGCAAUGGGCGAAAGCCUGACGGAGCAACGCCGCGUGAGUGAUGAAGGUCUUCGGAUCGUAAAACUCUGUUAUUAGGGAAGAACAAAUGUGUAAGUAACUAUGCACGUCUUGACGGUACCUAAUCAGAAAGCCACGGCUAACUACGUG